UGGGGAAUCUUGCGCAAUGGGCGAAAGCCUGACGCAGCGACGCCGCGUGAGCGAUGAAGGCCUUCGGGUUGUAAAGCUCUGUGGGGAGAGAAGAAUAAGGGUUGGCUAACAUCCAACCUGAUGACGGUAUCUCCUUAGCAAGCACCGGCUAACUCUGUGCCAGCAGCCGCGGUAAGACAGAGGGUGCAAACGUUGUUCGGAAUCACUGGGCGUAAAGCGCAUGUAGGCGGUUUGGAAAGUCGGAUGUGAA
Molecule: ribosomal RNA, 250 nt
Filed under: uncultured bacterium
Lineage: Bacteria
Description: partial 16S ribosomal RNA
Rfam family: Bacterial small subunit ribosomal RNA
Source: RNAcentral